UACGGGGGGGGCAAGCGUUGUUCGGAAUUACUGGGCGUAAAGGGCUCGUAGGCGGCCAACUAAGUCAUACGUGAAAUCCCUCGGCUUAACCGGGGAACUGCGUCUGAUACUGGAUGGCUUGAGUUCGGGAGAGGGAUGCGGAAUUCCGGGUGUAGCGGUGAAAUGCGUAGAUAUCUGGAGGAACACCGGUGGCGAAGGCGGCAUCCUGGACCGAUACUGACGCUGGGGUGCGAAAGCGUGGGGAGCAAACAGG
This 253-nucleotide ribosomal RNA is filed under the name uncultured bacterium. Its description in RNAcentral is "partial 16S ribosomal RNA". It matches the Rfam family "Bacterial small subunit ribosomal RNA", at positions 524 to 776 of the family's 1533-position model. The record is from RNAcentral.